This is a long non-coding RNA of Xenopus laevis (African clawed frog), 470 nucleotides long. RefSeq lists it as uncharacterized. The record is from RefSeq and is a predicted model, not a curated record. Lineage: Eukaryota; Metazoa; Chordata; Amphibia; Anura; Pipidae. The transcript has 5 exons.
CAACAUGUAACAAGUCCAUUUAUGUUUUACUUACAGGACGAUGUUCUCGCCGAAUUCGACCCGGUAGUGAUGUUCUGCAGGAAAAACACAAUUCUGUCAAAUACUGAGCUAAAAGGAACAUGGGAACAUGGGAAAUGGUCUUUUUCCAUGCCUAGAAGGUGCCUCGAUUGAAGAUUCUGGAGCCCAAAAGCAGUUUCGUAUCCUUUAUGUUCAAUCCCAGUACCUGAAAUGGCAGACCAUGUGGAGGGGGGUCUUCAAAGCUGCGAAAAGACCUGACGUCACGAAAAGACCCGAAGUUGAAGUCCUGAAGCCUCGAAAGGACCCAAAGCCAGGUUCUAUACAUUUACGCUCGAUUGAGGAUCCGGCUCACAGAUGGUUACAGGCCUCUUGCAGAGUCCGGGUAGUGUGUGACAGUAUCCGGUGAAAUAAGAAACGAAUAUACAAAUAAGAAGGAUAUAGCAGAAGGGAUA